This 243-nucleotide ribosomal RNA is filed under the name uncultured bacterium. RNAcentral describes it as "partial 16S ribosomal RNA". It matches the Rfam family "Bacterial small subunit ribosomal RNA", at positions 111 to 354 of the family's 1533-position model. The record is from RNAcentral.
UAACGCGUGGGCAACCUGCCUCGUACAGGGGGAUAACAGUUAGAAAUGACUGCUAAAACCGCAUAAGCGCACAGCAGCGCAUGCUGCAGUGUGAAAAACUCCGGCGGUACGGGAUGGGCCCGCGUCUGAUUAGCUUGUUGGCGGGGUAACGGCCCACCAAGGCAGCGAUCAGUAGCCGAUCUGAGAGGGUGGACGGCCACAUUGGGACUGAGACACGGCCCAAACUCCUACGGGAGGCAGCAG